RNAcentral lists this ribosomal RNA (495 nucleotides) under uncultured microorganism. RNAcentral describes it as "bacterial SSU rRNA". It matches the Rfam family "Bacterial small subunit ribosomal RNA", at positions 9 to 493 of the family's 1533-position model. The record is from RNAcentral.
GAGUUUGAUCAUGGCUCAGGAUGAACGCCGGCGGUGUGCCUAAUACAUGCAAGUCGUACGCACUGGCCCAACUGAUUGAUGGUGCUUGCACCUGAUCGACGAUGGAUCACCAGUGAGUGGCGGACGGGUGAGUAACACGUAGGUAACCUGCCCUGUACAGGGGGAUAACAAUCAGAAAUGACUGCUAAUACCGCAUAAGACCACAGCACCGCAUGGUGCAGGGGUAAAAACUCCGGUGGUACAGGAUGGACCCGCGUCUGAUUAGCUGGUUGGUGAGGUAACGGCUCACCAAGGCGACGAUCAGUAGCCGGCUUGAGAGAGUGAACGGCCACAUUGGGACUGAGACACGGCCCAAACUCCUACGGGAGGCAGCAGUGGGGAAUAUUGCACAAUGGGGAAACCCUGAUGCAGCAACGCCGCGUGAGUGAAGAAGUAUUUCGGUAUGUAAAGCUCUAUCAGCAGGGAAGAAAGUGACGGUACCUGACUAAGAAGCCC